UCCAACUUGUUCAUAAAUGGUACAAAUACUCCGUUAAGGCCGACCAAAAAGAGUUCUUCUCCCGUCUCCAUCCGUUUUGUUCCGCCUCAGUUCUUCUUCCCCGUUUCUCCUUUCGUCCCUCCCCUCCAACUCUGAUUGGUUCAAAAUGUGGCGAUUGCCCGCGCUCCUCUCUUGAUUGACACCUGUCUACUCCUGUUAACAACCGCAGGGCUCUCAAGUCUCACGCAUUCAGCGUGUGAUACACGCAUUCCCACCCGUUCACACGCUCACACGCCACACAUUGUAUUUCUCACGCAUUUAAAUGAACAUGGUGAUGUCCACCAAGUUGCACCUCUUUAACUAUGGAACAGGUUGGAAUCAACUGAGUUCCUCCGAGAGUUCAGAAGCUGCGUGCCACGCCAAGCCAAUCAAAUAAAGUAUAUCUACUGAACAGCCAAUAAAAAAGCAGCAUUGCUGUAUCCGGGUAGAUUUUGAUAUCUUACGGUUUGACUACAGAAGAAGACAGACACUCGCCGAAAUAGAGCAGGUUUUUAUAAGGACGAGAUAGACCCGAUGAUUACAGUAAGUCAGUAACCUACACAUGCAGAGACCUCAACACCUCAUGGCAUACAAACUCAUAUGAUAAACUAAAGCCCUAUGCUUUUGCUAUUAACAGCUGUAUUGAAGGAUUUAGCCUCUGUACAGCCAUUUCCGGCCAUUUUCCCCUCCACAAAAGCAGCAUUUCUCAUAUAGCUCAAAUAUAAGUUCUGAUACUCAUGACAGUAUAAUGCUCAUGUACCAAAGGAUUAAGUAUCUCCAUGUUUGUGAAACCUAUACUAAAGUAAAAUUCAUCUAAAUGCUCCACAGUGCUGAUUUUAACAACUCUCCUUCACAGCAGGUAACUUUACGACUUAAUACUUAUAUAUUAAUGACUUUAUUCUCCCAAAUAAUAACUUUAUUCUUUAAGAUUUAAAAACGUUUUUUUUUCUAAUUGUGCCCCUUAUACUCCGUUGUAUUUAAGAGAUAAUUAUACUAAUAAUUAUCUUCAAUCACCCCCCCAAGGAAAUCUCACUCUAAGCUUAGUUCAAAACUUGAGAGCCCUGCAACCGUGAACAGUCCAUGAUAGGUUCAAAAUCAACACAAAAUCAGACGAUUCACAGUAUUUUACAAAUUUUCAAUGUUUACAUCGUUAAUUGUGGGAUAUAGAAAAGGGAAUGGGGUUUGUACCCUGUUUUCACCCUAAAAAAAAAGCACUACAAAUUUUUUACAUGAAAAACAGGGAAAACAGGAACAAAUUAUUUAAGUGUUGACAUCAGUGUUGAAUGUCGAACCCUGUUAGUCUAAAUGAGCUCUCGUCUUUAUACAAUAACCUCAAGAAAUUGAUGUUUUGUGUCCUGUUUAAGCAACGAUGAAUU
Molecule: non-coding RNA, 1394 nt
Organism: Xyrichtys novacula (pearly razorfish)
Lineage: Eukaryota; Metazoa; Chordata; Actinopteri; Labriformes; Labridae
Source: the annotation of a GenBank genome assembly